This 496-nucleotide ribosomal RNA is filed under the name uncultured bacterium. RNAcentral's name for it is "partial 16S ribosomal RNA". It matches the Rfam family "Bacterial small subunit ribosomal RNA", at positions 29 to 507 of the family's 1533-position model. The record is from RNAcentral.
AUGAACGCUGGCGGCGUGCCUAAUACAUGCAAGUCGAGCGAACAGAUGAGGAGCUUGCUCCUCUGACGUUAGCGGCGGACGGGUGAGUAACACGUGGAUAACCUACCUAUAAGACUGGGAUAACUUCGGGAAACCGGAGCUAAUACCGGAUAAUAUAUUGAACCGCAUGGUUCAAUAGUGAAAGACGGUUUUGCUGUCACUUAUAGAUGGAUCCGCGCCGCAUUAGCUAGUUGGUAAGGUAACGGCUUACCAAGGCAACGAUGCGUAGCCGACCUGAGAGGGUGAUCGGCCACACUGGAACUGAGACACGGUCCAGACUCCUACGGGAGGCAGCAGUAGGGAAUCUUUCGCAAUGGGCGAAAGCCUGACGGAGCAACGCCGCGUGAGUGAUGAAGGUCUUCGGAUCGUAAAACUCUGUUAUUAGGGAAGAACAAAUGUGUAAGUAACUAUGCACGUCUUGACGGUACCUAAUCAGAAAGCCACGGCUAACUACGUG